UUGGACCUGAGAUCAGGCAAGAUUACCCGCUGAA
This 34-nucleotide ribosomal RNA is filed under the name Phytophthora pseudosyringae. RNAcentral describes it as "partial 28S ribosomal RNA". The record is from RNAcentral. Lineage: Eukaryota; Oomycota; Peronosporomycetes; Peronosporales; Peronosporaceae.